UUUGUGAUCUUCCAACAGGACAAUGUCAUGGUGGUUGUACUACAAUCCCAGAGUCAGACCUAGAAGAAAGAUCAGUAGAACAAGACUCUACAGAACUGUUUACCAACCACAGACAUCUCACUGCAGAGACACCCAGGCCUGAAGUUUCACCCCUCCAAGGAGUCUCGGAAUAAUUCAAGUAGAGUUGUUUGGUUGAGAGGAACAUCCCCAUCUCAAGGCCGAACCUGUGUGAACCUCAUGCCAAGCACAGAUAUAGGGCUGGCGCAGGUGCUUCCUAAAGCUCACCUUCCUGGAGAUGACAUGCAUAGAAAGAGGGGUUGGGACUUUUUACUUCACUAGGAGAACUUGUAACACCAUGGGGAAGUCAGCUGAAACUUGUCUUGUUUUGCCAGGAAAGGAAGUAGUUGCCUUUGGUCAUCCAUCUGCUAAUAGUCACAGAAUACAGUGAAAUGACAUAGUUUUGGGUUAGAUUUUAUAAUGCAAAGAUUCAGAUCCAAA
This 498-nucleotide long non-coding RNA is filed under the name Homo sapiens (human). RNAcentral's name for it is "HSALNT0120952". Lineage: Eukaryota; Metazoa; Chordata; Mammalia; Primates; Hominidae. The record is from RNAcentral.